This 21782-nucleotide long non-coding RNA is filed under the name Brassica napus (rape). Its description in RNAcentral is "long non-coding RNA (BNAP_LNC012708)". Lineage: Eukaryota; Viridiplantae; Streptophyta; Magnoliopsida; Brassicales; Brassicaceae. The record is from RNAcentral.
UAAAUUUCUGAUUUACUUAAAUCAGAAAGUUAAACACGAAACCCUAAGAAAGAUAGAAAAUAGGGAGAAUUAUUAUGCUAUGGUCAAACCUUAGCAGUUGGGCUGUUUUAAUUUUGAUUUAGCUUUAAUUUUAAUAUGGUCUAAAUUAACCUAUAGUGAAAAGAGCGAGUAAAGUUUUGGGUGCAGAGGAAACUUACUCAUUUGGGUAAAUCCCUAUAAGGUAAAUAAGUACUCCUGAGGAGAAUCUCUCUCUAGCUUUUCUCUAACUUCUCUCUAAAGGUUUUCAAAAAAAUAAAAUCGUGCUUGGUGGCCGGUGGUUCACCACUGCCAGUCACCUCUUUGUUUUUUUUUUGUCUAGCUCCGGCCAGUCCGGCCAGUUCGGUAUCACCUCCGACUUGCUUCGGUUUCUUUUGCUUUUAUUUGUAUCUUAUCUAUCCGUCUUUUGCAUGUUUCCUUCUGACUUUCUAUCCUCUUCAUGAAAGUCUUAGAUGCCGGGAAACGGAUUUCGUUCUCGAUUCCUUUGGCUUAUGCUUGGUCGUGUCUACACUUAGUUGUAAAUCUCUGCUUACACUUAGAAACUGUUUAGAGCAGAGUUUCUUUGUUGUCAGAUUCGACAAGAUUUUCAGGUUGUUGAGUUUCUAUGCUUGAAGAAUCGGGGAUUUUCGUCGCGUUCAAAUGAGUCUCUCAGGAAAGCUAGCGCUCAGCUAAUCUGCGUUCGUCUCUCUACUCCAAUGGUUAUGCUUGAGCUGAUCCUUACUAUCGGAGAUAAGCAAAAGAUGCUAAGGCGGUUCGUAAUUGCGCUUAGGUGUUUGUAUGUGAUAAUCUACAAAUCCUAAGCUGUGAGGACGUGAUUCAAGAGAUGUUUCGUGCGGCGGAGAGAAGAAGAAAUCAAAUCGGCGGUCUCCGAUGCGUGAUAGCAUCACUGAAGACGUGGCUCAUCUAAGACCAAAGGAAGUGGAGUACACGUGCCAUUCUAUUGUUUGUCCUUAUCCUUUUGUCUUGAGUCUCGUUAUGGGCUUACUGUAAAUCAAAUUUUGUGUUAGAAUCUGUCCUUUAAGAACCAGGCCUGUAUCAAUCUAGCCCUUUGUGGCUUUAUCAAUAUAAAAUGCCGAAAAAAAAAAAAUAAGCACUCCUGAGUUUAUUUGAUUAUUUCUGGAAAGAUAUUACUAUCAGGGGAAAAUCUCAUUUUAAACACUCAGUGUCUCACUUUCUAUCAUUUUAAACACGGUAUUGUUCAUUUUCCAGGUCAAAAUAAUGAUGUGUCGGCUUUUUUUUUUUAAAACAGAAAAAUACAGAAAAAUUAGAAUGAAAUUGGAAAAAAUUAUAAAAAACUCAAAACAAAAUUAAAAAAAAAAUCUAAAAAUUCAAAAAACAUUAAAAUUAAAAUUUCAAACUUAAAAAUAAAAUAAAAUACUAAAAAUUCAAAAAUAAGAUCUAAAAUUAAAAUGUUAAAUUUAAAAAAGAAAAUAAAAUUUUAAAAAUUCCAAAAAUUCUAAAAUAAGAUCUAAAAUUAAAACUUCAAACUUAAAAAUUAAAAUUGUAAAUAUUUAACCAAAAAAAUUAUAUUUAUUUUAAAAUUUCAUCCAAUGAAAGUGACGGUCACUUAUGAUGAUAUCAAAACUUGCCACCAUCGAAAACAAUAUAUCAAAACUUGCUACCAUCAAAAACUUUUUUUUUGAUAAUCCGGAUAUCUAGACACUUUACAUAACCCGACUAGCGCCUAAGUACACUUCGCAGAAAGCAUCUCGGGGGUUGCCAAUUUCACCCCAUGUUAAUUGAUGGUGGCUACGCGCAGGGCUAAUAAUUCUCUCAAAUAAAUUAUUUUUGAGUUUUGUCAAGAUUUUCUAAAACCAAAAUGUUUCAUUAAAGAUGCAAAAGGCUCUUAUGCUCUAAAUAUAUAAAUACAAAUAAAUAAAGACAAAUUUCAAAAAAAAAAAUAUUUUAGCUCUUAUUUUAGAAUUUUUAGAAUUUUUAUAAUUUUAUUUUAUUUUUUAAAUUUGACAUUUUAAUUUUAGAUCUUAUUUUUGAAUUUUUAGAAUUUUUAAUAUUUUAUUUUAUUUUUAAGUUUGAAAUUUUAAUUUAAAUUUUUUUGAAUUUUUAGAUUUUUUUUUGAAUUUUGUUUUGAAUUUUUUACAAUUUUUCCAAUUUCAUUAGAAUUUUUCUGUAUUAUUUUUUUUAAAGAAAUUGACACGUCAUCAUGUUGACCUGUAAAAUUAACAGUACUGGACGUCUAUGAACAGGAAAACGGCUUUGGAAGUUUAUUAUGAUAAGAAUGUCAUUUUGAAGGUUUAAAGUGGUAGUAAAAAAAAUUAAUGUUUAAAGAGUUAGAAAGUGAUACUCUGAGUGUUUAAAAUGUGAUUUUCCGUUACUAUUAGGGUCUAAGAAUAGAUAAUUCUUUUCAUGCAAUAUAUAGCCUAUUGGGGAAUUCUUGUACGUUGAUUAUUUGAUAUGCAAUGAUCAUUCUUUAGUGUUUAAACAUAUAUAAGAUAAUAAAAAUGGUCAGGAGUCAAGACUAAUGUAACCAAAGUCAAAUAGAUAUUCGUAUGAUUACCGUUUUUGUAGAUUAUAGAUGGGUAGAUACUUGUCACUAGGUCAAAAACACAUGUGCUCUCAUUCUUUCCUUUUUUUUGUCAAAAUUAUAAAGUGACAAAAUUCCAGCUGAUUAUUUGCGCCUCUAAAUUUCUAAUACAUACAUAAAAGAUGUAUAUUUAUUCUUCUUAUUUUGCUAUUCUUAAUUGUCUAAAUAUAUAAGUGACCAAAAACUGAAUUUACGAGAUUUAUAUACGAAUCGUCAAACCAUUACUGUCCUGAACUAUUAUAAAGAAAAGAAUUAUAUAAUUGUCGAUUUAUGAGUUUAUUUUUUUAGUGUAGUUUUAAAGAUGUAACAUCAUUUAAACAAUUUGGUAUAAUAUAUAAUAAUAAUAAAAAUUGACCAAAACCAAAACCCACAGCCAUAAACUCGAAGUUAUAUAUAGCUAAUUUAUAAAGUAUCACUAUAUCUUUCUUUUUUGUUGGUAAAAGCAUCACACUGUAUAUAUCUAAAAAACGAAACUAUCAAAGAAAAUCCAACAUCAAAACCACGUCGUGGUGGCCUAGUGGUUUCCACUAGAGAAGGAGUUGUCUUCUUGGUCCAGGCCAGGAAUUGACUCUUUUUAGUGCGAAAUUAUUAGCUCUACAUACGUGGAUAUGAGUCCAUGCUUACGGUCUAUUUGAAUAUCCGGGAGAAAAUCCAUCAGUGGGUUGCACCUCCUAUCCAGAGAUUAAGUAUGUGUCUUUAAUAGACCCGAGUUUAACCCUUCUAGUCUUAAAAAAAAAAUCCAACAUCAAAAUCAAUUUAAAUCCUAGUUUUUUUUUUUUUUUUAGGUAACCGCGGAUUUCCGGCGACCGUGGUCAACCGACUAUUUCCGCGAGGCCCACGGCACUCUACGUAUUCUUGGGAUUUAAUCCUAGUCCGGGUGGCCAGCGGAACUCGAACUGCGGAUACCGUAUUGGAGGUUUUCCCCUCAAGUACCACUAGCCCAAGGCCGCUGGUUGAUUUAAAAUCCUAGUUAAUUAAGCACAAGUAGCUACGAUGGAAUAUCCGGCAAACAAAAAUGAUGAACCUUUUCUGAAGUUUUAAUUAUUAUUAUUUUUGGCUUCAUGCAGAUAUACAUAGAGAGAGAUAGAUACAUAUGUAUGAUAGUGUGCAUCCAAAUUGGACAAAGAGAAUAGAUGGAAAAAGAGAGAGUCAUCUUUUAGAAAGAGCCAAAACCAUAUCAGAAAAAAAAAAACUCUUUUAAUCCAAACCAUAUACCCAUGUACAAAUCCUCUCUUUCUUUCUUCCCUCAAAAUUCUUUUCUUUCUUGGGUUUAAGGAAAUCUUAGAUCUUGUUCUUGUGGGGUUUUAGGGUUCUUGGGACUAACUUUUUUUUCAGAAAUGGGUAAGCGUGGUGGGAAAAAUGGUAACGAAAACUAUGACGGCGUUGGUUUUAAUGGUCAAGGAGGCAGUGGAGUUAGGCCAUACGUACGGUCUCCGGUGCCUAGACUCAAGUGGACGGCGGAUCUCCACCGUUGUUUUGUUAACGCCGUCGAUAUGCUCGGUGGCCAACAUCGUACGUCCAUAUUUUGAUACUUUAUCUCUUGUUUUAUUCACACACACACAUAUAUAUAUAUAUAUAUAUAUAUAUAUAUAUAUGUCUUAAAGUUUCUUUUCGGUAUUUCUUCAAAGAUUAAAAUUUCUCAUGCACUUUUGCUACUUUGUUGCAUUCAUAUAUAUCUUAAAAUUAAAGUUCAAGUUUUUUUUUUAUCUUUUUGAAAUAGUUUGAAACUUCUCAACGUUAAUCUUCAUCAUCGACCUAAACAACCAAAUUGGACAGUUUUUGAACCAAGCAUCACACCUUUGCUUAUUUGUUUCAUUCAUAUAUCUUAAACGUUUUCUCUUAUAAAGUAUUGCAAUUUCUCAUUUUUUGUUAAUGAAUAUUCAUGACAAAGAAUCAUCAUAGUCACCUUUUUAAUAUUUUUUUGUUCUCUUUUGUAUUUUUGUUGGGUUUGAUGAAACAGGAGCUACUCCAAAGCUUGUUCUUAAGAUGAUGGAUGUAAAGGGACUCACCAUUUCACAUGUCAAGAGUCAUCUUCAGGUAGCAAAUAUACCGAAUAUUAGUUUUCUCUCUCUUUCUUAUCCUUAUAUUAUUAUUUAUAAUAUCCUGAACAGAUGCAUAGAGGUUCUAAACUCACUUUGGGUAAACCAGGUAAUGUAUACUGUUUUCUUCCUUUUUUUUGUAAUUUUCCAAAAAUAUUCUGAUAUGAUUUUCUAAAGAAUGGGACCGUUGAAUAAUCUGAAUUGUUAACAUCAAAACUAUAAUAAUGGAUGGAAAUUAAUUGGUUUACUCCAUGAUUCAUAAGACAAUUGUCAUAAAAAUACAUAGCUAUUUUAAUAGGUCAAUAAAAUAUUCAUUAUGGUCAUAGCUUAAUUCUUUAUUAUUAUUAUUAUUUCGAAACAGAGGAAAACUCUUUAUUUUCAAUAAGAAGACAGGACACUGAAGAGGAUUAUCUUCAGGACUACUUGUCUUUACACAUAAGGAAUGAUUGUCCUACGGGUUUUCACACCUUUUCUCUUUCUUCACAUUCUUCUAGGUAAUUUUAUUUAUUUUAAAGUAGUUUCUGACAAAUCCUUAAUUUGCAUCAGAAAUGUUAUCAUAUACUUUUUGUCUCUAUUUGAAUUGUCCUUUUUGUAUUUUUUAAAUAUUACUUUGGUACGGAAGAGGAAGAAGAAAGGAGCAUACUUCAGAGUCUCGUGGUGGAGAUGAUGUCGAUGACUCUCUUCACAUCAUGAACUUGAAGACGAACGAAACGACGUUUCCAUCACAUCAUUUCCACCAGGUAUAUUUUUAUCUUUUAUUUUUGUCAACAGGUAAUUAGAAAAUAAACGUUCUUGGUAUAAUUUUGAACACUUAACCGGGGUCAAAGCUAAACCAAAUCUAAUCCGUUUGAUAAUUGUUUCUUUGAAAUCCCAGGGGGGUGGGCAUAGAGUCUUAACCGGCUCGGUUAAAACUGGGUAAACCCCUGGAUAUUUCCGGUUUAGUAAAUAAUUUCGUUUUUUGCUCAAUAGAAUACAGAGAAGGAGACAAACCCUUGGCACGAACACGAACACGAACAUGAACAAGAACAUGAACAUGAAGAAGAAGAACUGUCGUUGUCGCUGUCGUUGAAUCAUCAUCAUUUGAGAAGCAACGGAUCAUCAGUGAGCGAAACAAGUGACGCGGUCUCGACAUGUUCAGCACCAUUCGUCAACAAAGAUUGCUUCGGUUCUUCACCAAAGAUUGAUCUUGACCUUAACCUUUCAAUUUCUCUCCUUGGCAGCUGAGACCACGAAUUAAAUCUUUAUUUAUUAGAUUAGUUGUAGUGAAACAUCAUAAUCUUUCGGUUCAAAAAAAAGAAACAUCAUAAUCUUUUGUUAAACUACUAGGAUUUCUUGAUUUUCCAAAGAUUUAAAGUCAGAAUCGACAAAAUUUUGAAAAUAAAAUUUGAAGUUACGUAUACAUCAAACUGAAACCUAAAAUGUAUAAAACAAUAAUGAAUCCAAACCGAAAAUAAAACAAACAUAGCCAUAACUUACAUCUUAAUUCUUAAACAAAACAUGUAAGUUGGAUCCUUUGUCACAGAACAUGAGGCUCACUAGUAGUAGUGCUUCACUCAAUUUUUUGGGUACUUGGAGAAGUUUUUUCUGAGGAUUGGUAUAGCUACUUAGACAGUUUCGUAAAGGUAGUUAGUUUAACGAUGUAAUAAGUUUUUUCUUUGAAAUAAAAUCGAGUACUUUCAAAAGAAAAAGAAAAAAAACAAUACAUUAUGUUGAUUACACUUAUGUGUAAACAUUCCUGAGAAAGAUAACAAAAAUGUCUUGUUCGUAGGCCCAAGCCCACUGGACCUUGGCAUUUGAUUUUUUUCGAUUUGGUUUCGGGCUUUUGAGUUUUGAGUUUUGUGGGUGUUCGGUUUUGUGGUUCACGUUGGUAAAAUUUUAUAUUCGUUUAUAAGAUACUAGGGUCGGUCCACCCCCGUGAAGUUAUAAUAAAAACUAUUUUAUUAUGCUGAACAAUGUUUAUAUACCUGAACUUCAAAACAACAAACAGAUUAUUUGUGCCUAAACAAUCAUAUAUUCUAUAGUAUUGCAUAUAGUUUCGAGCAGAACUAUCAUUUGUCCACACUAUACGUAAUCAUACACAAUUUAAAUAUUUGAUGAUUUGUUUAAAUUGAUUAGUUUAUCACACCCAAUGCAUAAGGCAUAAGGCAUAUUAAUACUACUCAUUUGAAAGCCAGAAAAAACAUUUCAUUAAAAACAAUUAACAUCCCAAAACGACAUUAUAAGAAUUGAUUUGAAUGAUUUAACAAUCAAAAUUUUUAGGAACCCAAAUCCUCACCCACUCAACCAUUCACCAAGAAGAAAACUAUUAAAACUUUAUAUGAAAAAGGUGACUUGGUCCGCCCUCUAGUUGCUUUCCUUUUUUAUUAAUCAUCCGCUAAUAUAUAAUUAGAUGAUUAAUUACCUAAACUUUCCUUUUUGGAGCUAAUUACUCAUAACUACCUGAAACCAAAACCGGUUCAUUCAAGCUAUAUUUUUUGGUUUAGUUAAAACGUAAUAGUAUUUUUUCUAGGUUUGCAUCGGUUUCAGUUUCUUCGAUUUACUUAAUUAUUAAAAUUAAAUUGAAAAGGAAAUUACUUAACAAUAAAAAAGGAACGUUUUGACAGAUUUGGUUCGCAAGUAAUUGAAGGUGUAGCAAAACAACAUCAAGUCAUUGUGACUGUCAUAAACGCUGGCUUUGACCUAUGCUCUCAAGGAGUUCUUCAUCACCACCGUGAACACCAACUUUCCGGCGAAAUCAACUUGUCUCUCCGUUGGGUCUGUGCUCCACUCAAACUCUUGAACCAUCCUCGCCAUCAUUAGCUCCACGUGUAUGAUCGCCAUCCUAAGCCUCGGGCAGAUCCGACGGUAGAUUCGAACGGCAUCAUCUUCACUCCUGCUACGGCGGUUAAAUCUGCCUCUUCUUCACCUAUUAUAAACUGGUCCGCGUCGAAUUUAUCCGGAUUGGACCAGAUAUUCGGGUCUUCACUCAUACUGGGAAGAUAUAACUCCACGUUGGCUCCAAUUCCCGGGAAUGUCGUAGCCGGAGAGAGUCGUCGGCUCCGUAACGCCGUGAGUUAACGUGAAGUACGUCGGUGGAUCUCUACGGGCCGCGUUCCUUGGAAAAAUGUAAAAGCCCACACAAAACAAAAGCCGAAGCCCUUACCCCUUUUAAUGAAACACGGAGUUUGGCAAUAGAGUGGACAGGUGUGGCGUUCUGGUGAGAUGACUUUCUGACUGGAUCCUAGGUGCCAGCACAAAAGGGUGGCAAAUAUUUUUUUAUAUAUAUAUAUAGAUAGAUCGUAAGAAAGAUUGCAUGAUUAAUAAAUUCUUUUUUUUAUAACAUUUUUUUAAAACUAUUUUUUUUUUAUAAAAUCAGAUUAAUAAAUUCUUAUUUAUCAAAAGGGAAAUGAUUAAAAGAUACUUUAUAACAUCAAAUUAAUACUCUAUCCGUUCCACGAAGAUAAACUUUUUAGUAUUUUCAGAGAUAUUAAGAAAACACAUUAAACUACCACAAUAAAUGUAUCAUUUUCUGUAAUUUUCAAUUUUCAAUUUUCAAUAAAUUUUAACCAAUAAUAAUUCAAUAAAGUCAAUUAAUUUUAUUGAAGUUUACAAUUUUUUCAUAGAAAACACAAAAAUACAUCGUUGUGAAACAAUUUUUUUCUAAAAAGUCUAUUUUAUUGAAACGGAGGAAGUAUAACAGAACAAAAGAUAAUAGGAUUACGUGGUAGACAUAAUAUUUUGCGUUUGUAAAAUUCUUUAUUUAUUUGGAAGGUGAUGUUUAUAAAACAUUUUUAUAUAAUUGGAGCAUUUAAUUAUAGAGAUUGAUGAGAGAAUCUCAUACUUAUUUAUGGUGUAUAUAUAUAUAUAUACAAUAAUACAUAAUAUUUAUUAAAAAUAUCUAUAUUAUUCUAGAUGCUUCUAUACGCUCUUUCAGUGUGAAGGUGGUAAGUUUAAUAUUGACCUGGUGAUAUUGAGUAUUUUUUGGAUUUUCUAACGUAACUUUGCUUCUUCUUGUGGAAUUGCUAACAUUGAUGUUGAAAGUGCAUGGAAAUUGUGGUAUGCGUUGUGAUGAGCCUUUGUUUAGUCAUAACUCGUUUUUGACAAAAUGGUUUUAGAUUAUUUUUUGGUAAGUCUCUGGAUGAAAACGUUCGUCGAAAUAACAGAAUGUUUGACACUAUUAAGUAUUGUAACCACGUAUCAAAACUGUAUUUGGUUUGAAUGAGAAAUCUAAUCUAUUAAUUUAUAGUCAAUGGCUUCUGGAAGGGUGUUUUUAUCUAUUUUAAUAAGCUCUUUGAGUAUUGGGGUUUUAUUUGGGUUCAUAGGUAUAAGGGAAGAAAUUCUUGUUUUGCUUCUUUGGGUUUCUAUUAUGUUUUGGAAUAAAAUGGUAUUUUGGUGUUUCUGGUACUUUAAUUGUUUGGAAGAAUGUGUUCAGUACUGUGGGAAUAGCUAUGUUACUUUGACACGACAAUAUGGAUACGUUUGGAGGUUUUUACGUAUAUGGCAAGUACUGGUUGGGGUCAUGGUGUUGUGGUUUGUUGGAGACAGGUGGAGAGAGAUAAAAUAUAUACACAAUGCUUGCUUGGCUCUGUUUUUAGUGGUAUAUUGGUGUUGCUUGUGUGUGUGGCAGGUACGAGAGAGAACCGGCAAGCUACAUCGUUGUGAAACAAUUUUUUUCUAAAAAGUCUAUUUUAUUGAAACGGAGGAAGUAUAACAGAACAAAAGAUAAUAGGAUUACGUGGUAGACAUAAUAUUUUGCGUUUGUAAAAUUCUUUAUUUAUUUGGAAGGUGAUGUUUAUAAAACAUUUUUAUAUAAUUGGAGCAUUUAAUUAUAGAGAUUGAUGAGAGAAUCUCAUACUUAUUUAUGGUGUAUAUAUAUAUAUAUACAAUAAUACAUAAUAUUUAUUAAAAAUAUCUAUAUUAUUCUAGAUGCUUCUAUACGCUCUUUCAGUGUGAAGGUGGUAAGUUUAAUAUUGACCUGGUGAUAUUGAGUAUUUUUUGGAUUUUCUAACGUAACUUUGCUUCUUCUUGUGGAAUUGCUAACAUUGAUGUUGAAAGUGCAUGGAAAUUGUGGUAUGCGUUGUGAUGAGCCUUUGUUUAGUCAUAACUCGUUUUUGACAAAAUGGUUUUAGAUUAUUUUUUGGUAAGUCUCUGGAUGAAAACGUUCGUCGAAAUAACAGAAUGUUUGACACUAUUAAGUAUUGUAACCACGUAUCAAAACUGUAUUUGGUUUGAAUGAGAAAUCUAAUCUAUUAAUUUAUAGUCAAUGGCUUCUGGAAGGGUGUUUUUAUCUAUUUUAAUAAGCUCUUUGAGUAUUGGGGUUUUAUUUGGGUUCAUAGGUAUAAGGGAAGAAAUUCUUGUUUUGCUUCUUUGGGUUUCUAUUAUGUUUUGGAAUAAAAUGGUAUUUUGGUGUUUCUGGUACUUUAAUUGUUUGGAAGAAUGUGUUCAGUACUGUGGGAAUAGCUAUGUUACUUUGACACGACAAUAUGGAUACGUUUGGAGGUUUUUACGUAUAUGGCAAGUACUGGUUGGGGUCAUGGUGUUGUGGUUUGUUGGAGACAGGUGGAGAGAGAUAAAAUAUAUACACAAUGCUUGCUUGGCUCUGUUUUUAGUGGUAUAUUGGUGUUGCUUGUGUGUGUGGCAGGUACGAGAGAGAACCGGCAAGCUGUGGUGGAGGUCUUCAAGGAAACAUAGAUGGGGGGAGCGAAGAGUGAUAUGGCGCUUAUUGGAACACACUGUUGGGUAUGUUUCUACUAUUGGGCUUUAUUAAUUAUGAAAUUGGGCUUUGUCGUUUCAAAUUUUGUUUUCAUCGUUCAAGUUAAUUGUUUUGAUAAGAAAUUGUUUUAUGAGAAAUAGAAGAAGUCAAAGCUUGCGGCUGAAUUUUCUGAACGAGCUUCCAAAAGCGUUAACGGAACGUGAUUGUGGGAGAGAUGGGCAAGGAUUUCUCCUGAGCAGUUACGAUCUUUUGACUAUAAAGAGAGAAGUUUGGAGCUUGAAAGGGGGCACAAUUUGAUCAUCUCUUCUUCUUUCUCUAAGUUUUCUGGUUUUCAAAUUGAGAGUUUCAUCUCUCCUGGAUUGAGUGCACAAUUCAGGUGAGAGCAGAGUUAACCCUGGAGUGACCCGCCUUGGUUAUCUUGCACCCGGGAUUAGGCGGUUUUUUCGCUCAAGUGCAGUAGAUCUUUCUACGGCUCUGCAACUUGUUUUCCUUUGUGUUCUGGUUUCUGAAUCUUUUAAAGCUUUAUUUAUAACAUUCUUGAGCGAAAAAAUAUAUAUAAUUCUUACGAUUCAGAAUGCCGAAGAACUCUGCAGUACCGGAUCUGUCCAAACUUCAACCUCUGACUGGUUCUAAUUACCGUAGGUGGUCAGAGGAACUCAUGUUCUUCUUCCAAGAGAUUGGUCUUGACUAUGUUCUCAACGACGACAAGUCCUUUGCGACUUCAGCAACUCCGACUUCCGACAACUCUCAAGGUGAGACUGGCUCGCAGUCUGGUAAGAAGAAACCAGAAGGCACUCUUGAAGAUCACAACCGAACUUGCCGUGGUCAUAUCAUCCGACACCUUUCGGAGAAGCUCUUUGACAUAUAUGUCAACUAUGACUCAGCAAAAGAAAUCUGGAACAACUUGAAGAAAAGAUACGGAGCUGAAGAUGAAGGGAAAAAGCAGUAUGUCACCUCCAAAUGGACCUCUUUUCAGAUGAAGGAUGACGUACCAGUGCUGGAUCAACUCCAUGAGUAUGAAGCCAUUGUUUCCAAGAUUCAGGCUGAGGGCUUACCAAUUGAUGAGCAGCUGGCGGCCUUGGUGCUCAUCGACAAGUUGUCUCCAUCAUGGAAUGACUAUCGCUCCAAGCUGAAGCAUGAGAAAAAGAAGAUGUCUCUUGACGAGCUGAUCGCUGACAUUAUGAUCGAAGAUGCAAACAGAAAGUAUUUAGGUAAAAACACCAACGCUCGUUCAUUUCCUAAUAAUGCUAAUGUGGUGGAAAGUUCUGGUGAAAAGAACAGGUUACAAUCUCACAAAAACCAUGGCGCAAAAGCUCUUAAGCCAUCUGCUGAUUUCAAGAAAAAGAUGAAGUGUUGGAACUGCAACAAAACUGGCCACAAGAAGCAAGACUGUCGUCUGCCACCACAACGAAAGGACUCAAACAAAGCUCAUCUUACGGAGGAGUUAAUUGCUGUCACCACUGAGGUAAACGCUGCAAUUGACGUUGUGGAAUGGAUCAUUGACUCUGGCUCCACACGUCAUAUUUGCAGCAGGAAGUCUCUGUUCAAAACUCUUGAUGAGUCUCCACGUGAUAGUGUCUUCUUAGGUGAUGCUAGUGCUUUGCAAGUUGCUGGAAUUGGUGAAGUUGAUUUGAAAUUGUCAUCUGGAAGAGUUUUAACUUUGACUAAGGUUUUGUUUGUUCCAAACAUGCAUAGAAAUCUGAUUUCUAGUGCUUUGUUGAUGAUUGCUGGGUUUAAACAAACUCUUGAUGCUGGAAAGUUAGUGAUUACUAAAAAUGGGGGGUACGUGGGAAAGGCUUUUUGUAAUGGGAAUCUCUUUGUUCUUGAUGUUAUGAAUGAAAUAAGUGGUAGUGCUUCUGCUUACUUUGUGUGUGCUCUGGACACUUGGCAUGGUAGACUAGGACAUUUAAAUGUGAACUCUAUCAAACGUUUAAAGCAUGCAAAUCUGAUUUCUGAUAACUUGGAGAAAGAUAUUUCAAAAUGUGAAAUUUGUGUAGAAGCAAAACACGCUAGAAAGCCUUUUUCUCAUCCCAUUGAUCGAAAAUCUGAAUUGCUUGAACUCAUUCAUUCUGAUUUGGCUGAUUUUAAAAACACUCCUAGUAGAGGUGGUAAACAUUAUUAUAUUACCUUUGUUGAUGAUUUUUCUAGAUAUACGAGAGUUUAUCUAUUAAGAACAAAGGAUGAGGCAUGUGAAAUGUUUAUGCAAUAUAAAGCUGAAGUAGAAAAUCAGUUAGAUAGAAAAGUUAAGAGGUUAAGGACUGAUAGAGGUGGAGAAUAUGAAUCUGAAAUUCUGAAGUCUUUGUGUUUAAAAGAAGGAAUUAUUCAUGAGAAAACUGCACCUUAUACCCCCCAGCAAAAUGGUAUAGCUGAAAGAAAAAAUCGUACUCUUAAGGAAAUGAUGAAUGCUAUGCUUAUUAGUUCUGGGUUACCUGAUCAAAUGUGGGGGGAAGCUGUUCUUUCUGCUUGUUAUAUCUUGAAUAAAGUGCCUCAUAAAAGAAUUCCAGCUACUCCAUAUGAACUUUGGAAAGGUCAUUCUCCUAAUUUGAAUUAUUUAAGAGUGUGGGGGUGUCUUGCUAAAGUAGGAUUGCCUAGUUUUAAGAAGAAUAACAUUGGUCCUAAGACUGUGGAUGCUGUUUUUAUUGGAUAUGCUUUGAACAGUGCUGCUUAUCGUUGCUUGACUUUUAAACCUGAUUCUCUGCAAUUUGACAGCAUUACUGAGUCUAGAGAUGUUGAAUUUUUUGAAAAUGUGUUUCCUUUUAAGAGAAAUUUAGAAUCUGGUUCUUCUAGUAAUACAUCUACUAAAAGAACUCUUGAGGAUAAUAAUGAAGAGCUUAGAAGGAGUAAGAGAAUAAGAACCGAAACUGAUUUUGGUCCUGAUUUCAUUACUACAUUCUUAGCUGAAUAUGAUGAGUUUAGUGAAGAGUUUGUGUAUGCUUUCUUGAUAGAAGAAGAUCCUAAAACGUUUUCUGAAGCUAUGAAAUCCAUUGAUGCUGUUUUUUGGAAAGAGGCUGUUAACGUUGAAUUUGAUUCUAUUAUGGCUAACCACACUUUUGAGCUUGUUGAUCUGCCUAGGGGCUGCAAGGUUAUCAGAUGCAAGUGGCUUAUGAAAAAGAAGCUGAAAGCUGAUGGUACUCUAGACAAAUUUAAGGCAAGGCUGGUGGCGCAAGGAAAUUCUCAAAAACAGGGAGUAGACUAUUUUGAUACUUACGCUCCUGUUACUAAGAUUGCAUCCAUUCGCAUAUUGUUUGCUCUUGCAUCUAUUCAUAAGUUAGUUGUCCAUCAAAUGGAUGUGAAAACUGCAUUUUUGAAUGGUGAUUUGCAUGAGGAAAUUUAUAUGAUGCAGCCUGAGGGAUUUAUUGUGCCUGGUCAAGAACAUAAAGUGUGCAAACUAAAUAAAUCUCUUUAUGGUCUUAAGCAGGCUCGUAAACAAUGGUUUGAAAAAUUCAGUAACACUUUGCAUGAAAAUGGUUUUGUUCCAAACUUUGGAGAUACGUGUGUGUUUUCUAAGAUGCAUGAGCAUGGAUAUGUUAUUAUAUGUUUAUAUGUUGAUGACAUGCUUAUUCUUGGCACAUCUCUGGAAAUUGUUUGUGAAACAAAAGUUUUCUUGAGUUCUAAAUUUGAUAUGAAAGAUUUAGGUGAAGUUGAUGUCAUUCUUGGGAUAAAAGUGGUAAAAACUGACUCUGGUUUUUCAUUAAAUCAAUCUCAUUAUGUUGAAAAGAUUCUUAAGAAAUUUGGGUAUUGGGAUGAAACUAGUGCUAAAUCUCCUUAUGAUUCAUCUCUACAUUUGUGUAAAAAUAGAGGAGAAAGUGUGAACCAGUCUGAAUAUGCUAAGAUCAUGGGAAGUAUAAUGUAUUUGAUGAACAGUACAAGACCUGAUAUUGCAUAUGCUGUGAGUAGAUUAAGUAGAUAUACUCAUAAUCCUGGUUCUGAUCAUUGGAUAGCACUUGGUCGUUUAAUGAGAUAUUUGAAAGGAACUCUUGAUUGGAACUUGUGCUAUAGUGGUUCUCCAAGUGUACUUGAAGCUUAUUGUGAUGCUAAUUGGGUGUCAGACAAUGAUGAAGUAAACUCUACCAGUGGUUUUGUAUUUACUUUAGGUGGAGGAGCUGUAGCAUGGAAAUCUACUAAACAAUCUUGCAUUGCUCGCUCCACCAUGGAAUCUGAACUAAUUGCUCUCGAAUUGGCAGGUCAAGAAGCUGAUUGGUUGAGAAACUUGCUUGCUGAUAUCCAUGUAGAGAAUGGAUAAGUCCGGUUCAGUUUGGUAGACGUAGAAGUGUUGAGGUGAUAAGGAUCGAGAUGGUUGGAGAUAUGCAUUAGAAGAUUGUGAUAAGGAUUGUAGAAGAUAUUGUGCUUGAGUAUAUUCUUGUAACAAGCACGUAUAUAUAUGUGUAACAUAAGACGUGAAUAAACAACAAGUUCAUACAAAUCAAUCUCUCUUAGUUUACAGACAAUGAUUACAAGACGUAGUUCUCCGUGUAACACUAAAAUUAACAGACAGUUUACAUAUACGAUAUUUUCGAUGGACAAUCUCUCUUCAUAGCACAAGUCCACAACAAAGGGUUCUACCUACAACACUAUAGAAUUUCCGAUAAGCUUUGAAUCCGUAUAAUCUAUAAAAGUUGCUUCAUCUAAGAAUCAAAUCCCUAACUUUGUGUAGAAGCAUUUAAACCCUUGAUUACUAGACCUAUGGAUUCCACAAAUAAGAGUUGUUUAUGCAUCUGAGAAGGCGUGACUGUAACAUCAAAAGCUUCUCUUUACGUUUAGGAAGCUUACUUUCUGAAUGCAUAUGCCAAUCAUAAUAACAAUCACGAAAUAAAUAAAUAAAGAAGUCUUUUGGAACAUGUAGGAUUUUAAUGGCUAGAGCCUUAAUAAAUAGAUAUAUGAAAGCUUAUAAAAGUUGCGUUCCCACAAAUAAAAAAGAAGAGAAACAUUGAUGCUUAUCGUUCACGGGUAUAUCUUGUUGGGUAUGUUUCUACUAUUGGGCUUUAUUAAUUAUGAAAUUGGGCUUUGUCGUUUCAAAUUUUGUUUUCAUCGUUCAAGUUAAUUGUUUUGAUAAGAAAUUGUUUUAUGAGAAAUAGAAGAAGUCAAAGCUUGCGGCUGAAUUUUCUGAACGAGCUUCCAAAAGCGUUAACGGAACGUGAUUGUGGGAGAGAUGGGCAAGGAUUUCUCCUGAGCAGUUACGAUCUUUUGACUAUAAAGAGAGAAGUUUGGAGCUUGAAAGGGGGCACAAUUUGAUCAUCUCUUCUUCUUUCUCUAAGUUUUCUGGUUUUCAAAUUGAGAGUUUCAUCUCUCCUGGAUUGAGUGCACAAUUCAGGUGAGAGCAGAGUUAACCCUGGAGUGACCCGCCUUGGUUAUCUUGCACCCGGGAUUAGGCGGUUUUUUCGCUCAAGUGCAGUAGAUCUUUCUACGACUCUGCAACUUGUUUUUCGUUUGUGUUCUGGUUUCUGAAUCUUUUAAAGAUUUAUUUAUAACAUUCUUGAGCGAAAAAAAUAUUAAAAAAAGAUAUUAUAUAUAUAAUUCUUACGAUUCAGAAUGCCGAAGAACUUUGCAGUACCGGAUCUGUCCAAACUUCAACCUCUGACUGGUUCUAAUUACCGUAGGUGGUCAGAGGAACUCAUGUUCUUCUUCCAAGAGAUUGGUCUUGACUAUGUUCUCAACGACGACAAGUCCUUUGCGACUUCAGCAACUCCGACUUCCGACAACUCUCAAGGUGAGACUGGCUCGCAGUCUGGUAAGAAGAAACCAGAAGGCACUCUUGAAGAUCACAACCGAACUUGCCGUGGUCAUAUCAUCCGACACCUUUCGGAGAAGCUCUUUGACAUAUAUGUCAACUAUGACUCAGCAAAAGAAAUCUGGAACAACUUGAAGAAAAGAUACGGAGCUGAAGAUGAAGGGAAAAAGCAGUAUGUCACCUCCAAAUGGACCUCCUUUCAGAUGAAGGAUGACGUACCAGUGCUGGAUCAACUCCAUGAGUAUGAAGCCAUUGUUUCCAAGAUUCAGGCUGAGGGCUUACCAAUUGAUGAGCAGCUGGCGGCCUUGGUGCUCAUCGACAAGUUGUCUCCAUCAUGGAAUGACUAUCGCUCCAAGCUGAAGCAUGAGAAAAAGAAGAUGUCUCUUGACGAGCUGAUCGCUGACAUUAUGAUCGAAGAUGCAAACAGAAAGUAUUUAGGUAAAAACACCAACGCUCGUUCAUUUCCUAAUAAUGCUAAUGUGGUGGAAAGUUCUGGUGAAAAGAACAGGUUACAAUCUCACAAAAACCAUGGCGCAAAAGCUCUUAAGCCAUCUGCUGAUUUCAAGAAAAAGAUGAAGUGUUGGAACAAAGCUCAUCUUACGGAGGAGUUAAUUGCUGUCACCACUGAGGUAAACGCUGCAAUUGACGUUGUGGAAUGGAUCAUUGACUCUGGCUCUACACGUCAUAUUUGCAGCAGGAAGUCUCUGUUCAAAACUCUUGAUGAGUCUCCACGUGAUAGUGUCUUCUUAGGUGAUGCUAGUGCUUUGCAAGUUGCUGGAAUUGGUGAACUUGAUUUGAAAUUGUCAUCUGGAAGAGUUUUAACUUUGACUAAGGUUUUGUUUGUUCCAAACAUGCGUAGAAAUCUGAUUUCUAGUGCUUUGUUGAUGAUUGCUGGGUUUAAACAAACUCUUGAUGCUGGAAAGUUAGUGAUUACUAAAAAUGGGGGGUACGUGGGAAAUAAAAAUAGAGGAGAAAGUGUGAACCAGUCUGAAUAUGCUAAGAUCAUGGGAAGUAUAAUGUAUUUGAUGAAUAGUACAAGACCUGAUAUUGCAUAUGCUGUGAGUAGAUUAAGUAGAUAUACUCAUAAUCCUGGUUCUAAUCACUGGACAGCACUUGGUCGUUUAAUGAGAUAUUUGAAAGGAACUCUUGAUUGGAACUUAUGCUAUAGUGGUUCUCCAUGUGUACUUGAAGCUUAUUGUGAUGCUAAUUGGGUGUCAGACAAUGAUGAAGUAAACUCUACCAGUGGUUUUGUAUUUACUUUAGGUGGAGGAGCUGUAGCAUGGAAAUCUACUAAACAAUCUUGCAUUGCUCGCUCCACCAUGGAAUCUGAACUAAUUGCUCUCGAAUUGGCAGGUCAAGAAGCUGAUUGGUUGAGAAACUUGCUUGCUGAUAUCCCAAAGAUAGGAAGACCAUGUCCUUCUGUGUCCAUGAGAUGUGAUUCUCAAGCUGCUAUAGCAGUGGCUAUGAAUGUAUUGUAUAAUGGGAAGAAACGGCAUAUCCGUAUGAGACAUAAAGUGAUACGCAGCUUAAUUGAAGCAGGUGUGAUAUCACUUGAGUUUGUGAGAUCAGGGAAGAAUAUAGCUGAUCCACUAACGAAAGGCUUGUGUGGACGAAUGGUCCUGGACACAGCAAAGGAAAUGGGAUUAACACCUCUUUCAGGUUAGAUCAUUUUGGAUACCCUACCAAGAAUUUCAUUUAUAUUUGAGUUCUUGGUUCAAAGUGGUCAAACGAAAAAAUGAUCAUAAUCUGAUGGCAUUUAAAAUCUCUUAAUGUUGUAUGUGGCAGGUUGAGACACAUGGUCUCUUAAUGAACUUAUUCCUGUAUGGGGGUGUGAGACAACACACACUUGAUAAGUCACCUAAUAAUUGUUGAGGUAAAUAUUGCCUAACUAGAUGAGUUGUGGGUUAACUCACUAGAACACUUAUGACGCAGGGUUGAAAGAACAAGUUAAAAAAAACACUUGUAUAGAAUUUGCGAAACUCUCAAAUUAUUUUGUUGAUUCAAGUCUGUAAAGGACAUCAACGUGUGUUUUUUGUUUCAAUUUUUGUUCUCGAAACAUGUGGGGGAUUGUUGGGUAUGUUUCUACUAUUGGGCUUUAUUAAUUAUGAAAUUGGGCUUUGUCGUUUCAAAUUUUGUUUUCAUCGUUCAAGUUAAUUGUUUUGAUAAGAAAUUGUUUUAUGAGAAAUAGAAGAAGUCAAAGCUUGCGGCUGAAUUUUCUGAACGAGCUUCCAAAAGCGUUAACGGAACGUGAUUGUGGGAGAGAUGGGCAAGGAUUUCUCCUGAGCAGUUACGAUCUUUUGACUAUAAAGAGAGAAGUUUGGAGCUUGAAAGGGGGCACAAUUUGAUCAUCUCUUCUUCUUUCUCUAAGUUUUCUGGUUUUCAAAUUUCAGAAGUCAUUGGACCAUCAGUUAUCUUCGGGAAACAUGACAUAAAUAUAAACCGAUUUUUUUAUUUUUAUCUGAAACAAAACAGGAUUUUGAAUUUGUACAAAGAUUCCAAUCACAUAUUGGUUAUGAUAGCCUGGUAACCGUGGAUCCAUCUGGGAGAAGUGGGAGUCUAACUCUUUUUUAUAAUAAUGAGCAUCAAGUUAAGAUUCUAUAUUCUAGUAAUAGAAUGAUAGAUAUUGAGACGGUGGCAAAUGGGAAACAAGUUUUCCUUACUUUUGUCUAUGGAGAACCGGUUCAAAAAUUAAGAGAUCAUGUUUGGGAGAGAUUGACUCGGUAUGGAAUAUCACGAUCUGAACCUUGGUUUAUUAUAGGAGAUUUAAAUGAGAUCACUGAGAAUCAUGAAAAGGAUGGGGGAGUUGUGAGAUGCCCGACCUCUUUCAUAUCUUUUAACAAUAUGAUACGAAAUAGUGGGUUAUUAGAAUUCCAGGCUCGUGGAAAUACUAUGUCCUGGCAAGGAAGGAGAGGCAAAGGAAAAGGAGCAGUGACGGUAAGAUGUAGAUUGGAUCGAGCCUUGGCAAAUGAGGAAUGGCAUACGCUUUUCCCAUGUUCUUAUACAUAAUAUCUGGGGUUGGUGGGAUCAGACCAUCUACCAGUGAUGGCUUUUCUCGAUGAUAAAAUGAACAGAAGCAAACGAGGACAAUUCAGGUUCGAUAAGAGGUGGAUUGGCCAAGAGGGUCUUAUGGAAUCAAUCGUGUCAGGCUGGACAUAGAAUCAGGACGGCCGAGUAGAGGAUUUUGUUACAAAAAUUAGUAAUUGUCGUCAUGAGAUAUCUUCAUGGCGGAAAGAAAAUCAACCAUAUGGAAAGGAUAAAAUUCAAAAUCUUCAACAGGCGUUGGAAGAAGUACAAACAGAUAAUGAUAGAUCACAAGAGGAUAUUCUCGAGGUUUCUCGGAAAUUACAAGAGGCUUAUAAGGAUGAGGAGGAAUAUUGGCAUCAGAAAAGUCGGAAUAUGUGGCAUUCAUCAGGAGAUCUUAAUACUAAAUUUUAUCAUGCAUUAACAAAGCAGCGUCGGAUCCGUAAUAAAAUAGUGGGACUUCAUGAUGAAACGGGCAAUUGGAUUACAGAUGAGAAUGGGCUUGAAAAGGUAGCGGUUGAUUAUUUUGAGGAUUUGUUUAGCACUACUACCCCAACGGAGUUUGAUAGUUUUCUGGAAGAAAUUGUACCUUCCAUUUCCCCUCAGAUGAAUCAAAUAUUACUGCGAACAGCAACAGAGGAAGAGGUUCGACAAGCUCUAUUUAUGAUGCAUCCUGAGAAAGCACCAGACCUUCAUCAGGAGAUCUUAAUACUAAAUUUUAUCAUGCAUUAACAAAGCAGCGUCGGAUCCGUAAUAAAAUAGUGGGACUUCAUGAUGAAACGGGCAAUUGGAUUACAGAUGAGAAUGGGCUUGAAAAGGUAGCGGUUGAUUAUUUUGAGGAUUUGUUUAGCACUACUACCCCAACGGAGUUUGAUAGUUUUCUGGAAGAAAUUGUACCUUCCAUUUCCCCUCAGAUGAAUCAAAUAUUACUGCGAACAGCAACAGAGGAAGAGGUUCGACAAGCUCUAUUUAUGAUGCAUCCUGAGAAAGCACCAGACCCAGAUGGGAUGACAGCUCUUUUCUUUCAGCACUCCUGGCAUAUUAUUAAGAAGGAUGUGGUUGAGAUGGUAAAUAAUUUUCUGGUUACAGGUGAUCUGGACCCACGGUUGAAUAUAACCAAUAUUUGCAUGAUAGCAAAGACAGAAAGACUUACAAGGAUGACGGAAUUAAGGCCGAUAAGUCUAUGUAAUGUUGGCUAUAAGAUUAUUUCAAAAAGUCUUGUGCCAAAGACUGAAAAUUUGUCUACCACGGUUAAUAUCGGAAACACAAUCGGCUUUUGUGGCAGGAAGGUUAAUAUCAGAUAAUAUUCUUAUCGCCCAGGAAAUGUUUCAUGGACUGAGAAGUAAUAAAUCUUGUCAAAAUAGAUUCAUGGCGAUAAAAACGGAUAUGAGUAAGGCAUAUGAUCGGAUAGAAUGGAAUUUAUUGAGGCUCUUCUCCAUAAGAUGGGCUUUGAUCCUCGCUGGAUUAAAUUAAUGCGAGAGUGUAUAUCCUCGGUUCAAUAUAGGGUACUUCUUAACGGUCAGCCACGAGGGCUGAUAAUACCACAGCGUGGACUACGUCAAGGGGAUCCUUUAUCUCCUUACCUAUUUAUUAUGUGUACGGAGGCCUUAAUUGCGAAUAUAAAGAAGGCGGAGCGGCUGAAACAAUUAACGGGUUUGAAGGUAGCAAGAGCUUGUCCAGCAAUAUCUCAUUUGUUGUUUGCGGACGAUAGUCUUUUCUUUUGUAAGGCAAUAAAAGAAGAGUGUCAAACUAUUCUUAGGAUUCUCAAGGAAUAUGAGACUAUGUCAGGGCAACAAAUUAAUUUUUUUUUUUUUUUUGAUUAACCUGGAGGGAUCUCAACCCCCAGGGGACUAACCCCUCGGCGCGAGGCAGUCCAUUUGUUACUAUGGGAAUUAGAUACCCAAUUAUCUGGUCAAACACUUGGGCAUAUCUGAGGGGGAGGAUCGAACCCGCGGCCCUUAGGACCAACGAAUUCGCCUCGCGCCACUCGACCACAAGCGCUUGGUUUUUAUUGAGUGUUGUAUGUAGCAUCUCUUGUUUCUUAUAUGUUUUGUUAGAAGAGACACUUGGCCUCUUUUUCUUUUGUUGUAAGGCCAUUUGCCCUUUGAGAAUUGCGAUUCUGUCUUUAUCAAUGAAGGUUCAUUUAUAUUUAAAAUAGCGGCAACCCCUGAGUUAUUUGAAUACAGUAUCAAAUGGAUAAGUUGUGCGAAAAUAUUUAGGAGACGACAUAAUUUGCCAGAAAACAAAGAAGAUAAAAUCAAUUCUUGUCCACAUAAUUUUUGUAACUUAUCCAUAUCCUAGUCAGGCCGUAGCAUGUUUAACGCAUGUUAUUUUAUAGCAUGUUGGUCUACUCUACAGCUUUUUAUAUAUUUAUCUCAUAUAAGCACACGGGAAAACGGCUCUUCACCGUAUUAUUAUUGAUUUACAAAUGCGAUUCUUGACAAGAAAUAGUGUAAACACGUAAACCAAUCAUAUCAGUUACUUGAGUUAAUGCGAAAUAAGAAAACAGACUCGUGCCAGUUGCAAAGAAGGCAUGCAUGCAUGCAAGUUGCCUUCAUAUGUUUCUCAAAAAAAAAAAUUUAUUGCCUUCAUAUAAAUCAACAGAAAAAGACAUCAUACAAGUUGUGUAUAGACAUCAUUUUUAUAUUAUAUAUGUAAACAAAUAUCUUUUACAACAUUUUACCUCGCUAAAAGGGGAUGGAUUGAACUUUAACUAAGCCACAA